RNAcentral lists this ribosomal RNA (114 nucleotides) under Citrobacter freundii. RNAcentral also lists the same sequence under 9 other names. Lineage: Bacteria; Pseudomonadati; Pseudomonadota; Gammaproteobacteria; Enterobacterales; Enterobacteriaceae. The record is from RNAcentral.
CCUGGCGGCUGUAGCGCGGUGGUCCCACCUGACCCCAUGCCGAACUCAGAAGUGAAACGCCGUAGCGCCGAUGGUAGUGUGGGGUCUCCCCAUGCGAGAGUAGGGAACUGCCAG